Molecule: ribosomal RNA, 466 nt
Filed under: uncultured Klebsiella sp.
Lineage: Bacteria; Pseudomonadati; Pseudomonadota; Gammaproteobacteria; Enterobacterales; Enterobacteriaceae
Description: bacterial SSU rRNA
Rfam family: Bacterial small subunit ribosomal RNA
Source: RNAcentral
CCUACGGGGGGCUGCAGUGGGGAAUAUUGCACAAUGGGCGCGAGCCUGAUGCAGCCAUGCCGCGUGUGUGAAGAAGGCCUUCGGGUUGUAAAGCACUUUCAGCGGGGAGGAAGGCGUUAAGGUUAAUAACCUUGUCGAUUGACGUUACCCGCAGAAGAAGCACCGGCUAACUCCGUGCCAGCAGCCGCGGUAAUACGGGAGGGUGCAAGCGUUAAUCGGAAUUACUGGGCGUAAAGCGCACGCAGGCGGUCUGUCAAGUCGGAUGUGAAAUCCCCGGGCUCAACCUGGGAACUGCAUUCGAAACUGGCAGGCUAGAGUCAUGUAGAGGGGGGUAGAAUUCCAGGUGUAGCGGUGAAAUGCGUAGAGAUCUGGAGGAAUACCGGUGGCGAAGGCGGCCCCCUGGACAAAGACUGACGCUCAGGUGCGAAAGCGUGGGGAGCAAACAGGAUUAGAUACCCUUGUAGUC